Molecule: non-coding RNA, 1281 nt
Organism: Camellia sinensis
Lineage: Eukaryota; Viridiplantae; Streptophyta; Magnoliopsida; Ericales; Theaceae
Source: RefSeq, a predicted model, not a curated record
GUCUCUCUGUCACGCCCUCCUUCUCCUCCGGCCCCCAUCUCUCUCUCCAUCGCCAUCAGUACAGGAGCACACGACCACCACCGCCAUUGAUAUCACCAUCGCAAACCAGCAGCCAUUCUCUAUCGAGGAGACGAAAUCGAAGGGGUUUGACAUUGAGAUCGUUGGCCAAAGUUAGGCUAGAAUCAACAGAGGCGGCAAUUGAGAUGCAUAGUAGGGGCGGAAUGUAGUGAGGGAAUCAGAAACCCUAAUUUUACUUCUCUUUUCUCUCUCUCUCUCUCUCUCUCUCUCUCUUUCAUAUAUAUAUAUAUAUAUGUAUGUAUGUAUAAGCAGUUUCAGACCUCUCUCUUUCUUCAAUUCAAUUUACAGAACAUGAUGUUUUGCUUUGAUUGCUUUCUCAGAACUCAAAAGCAAAAACAAAAAGGGUUUUCUUGACAACUCCAUUUGAUUCAUCUGAAAUUCUCGUUAUCUCGGAAAUGGGGUUGUGGGAUUUCCUCAUCAAUUGGCUCUGCAGGUAUUUUCGGGAUUUUGAGGUGGAACCUAUUGGACUGAAGGAGACACCACGUAGUUGUUCCAGUGAUGAUUGUGGUGCAAGACUUAAAGACACUGUUGUUGACUGGGAGGAUGCUUUACCACCAAAGGAGUUGAAUCCAGAAGAGAAACACUGCAAAGUAGCUGAUGUUGUGUUAUGCUUGGGGACAAGCUACUUUUGCAGUUUGCAGAUAACUCCUGCAUGCAAUUUGCCUCUAAAAUCACUCUGUGGUGGGGGAAAGUUCGUAAUUGUGAAUCUUCAGGAUCUUGGUAGGCUUAUCAAAGGUUCUAUAGAACCAGUUAGAGAUUUUGUAUCUGGGUUUCAAUUUGCACCUGGGGUUUGGGUUCAUUGCUAUCUUCUGUAGAACUACUUGCUGAGGAGAGCAAUUAUGGAAGUUAUAGUAUUCGACAGUACAAUCUUCACAGCUACAUGAGGUUGACAGCUUGAAGGAAAAACUCCUUGAAAAGUUAGAACAAUUCAUUGUCGACCUUGAACUUGAUUCUAGAGAAAUGCUAAUCUUUUGAGUACGUGAUGAUAUUUUCGCAUAUCGAUAUUAGAGCUUAUUGUUGAUAAUAAAACAAUAUAUAGGUGUUUUUAUUUGCACUGUCGAUACUUUUGUUUUGUUUUAGAUACAAAUUUGAGUUCUUGAAUUAUCAAAAAUUAUUAAUAUUGUUGGAGGAUGUUUUAUAUAUUUUUGUAAGGAAUGCUUGGUUGACAUUGUAUUGUUACAUGGUUACAUAUAUAUCAUUAUU